Molecule: ribosomal RNA, 369 nt
Filed under: Salmonella enterica subsp. enterica serovar Enteritidis
Lineage: Bacteria; Pseudomonadati; Pseudomonadota; Gammaproteobacteria; Enterobacterales; Enterobacteriaceae
Description: partial 23S ribosomal RNA
Rfam family: Bacterial large subunit ribosomal RNA
Source: RNAcentral
GUGUAUGCGUAGCGAAAGCGAGUCUUAAAAGGCGUCUUUUCAGUCGCGUGUCCUGGACCCGAAGCGGGAUGAUCUAGCCCUGGUCAGGUUGAAGCGCGGGUAAGACCGCGUGGAGGACCGCACCCACUUAGGUUGAAAACUGAGGGGAUGAACUGGGGUUAGGGGUGAAAGGCCAAUCAAAUUCCGUGAUAGCUGGUUCUCUUCGAAAUGCAUUUAGGUGCAGCGUCGGUUGAUUGCGUGUGGGGGGUAGAGCUACUGGAUGCUUGCGGGCCCGUGCCGGGUACCAACAGCAACCAAACUCCGAAUACCCAUCGCGUCUAUUCCGGCAGUGAGUCGGCGGGGGAUAAGCUCCGUCGUCGAGGGGGAGAC